This is a non-coding RNA of Macaca mulatta (Rhesus monkey), 74 nucleotides long. NCBI's taxonomy places the organism in Eukaryota, Metazoa, Chordata, Mammalia, Primates, Cercopithecidae. The record is from Rfam.
GGCCGGUUAGCUUAGCUGGUUAGAGCGUGGGGCUAAUAACACAAAGCUCGCGGGUUCUAUCCCCGUAUGGGCCA